AGAUUGAACGCUGGCGGCAGGCCUAACACAUGCAAGUCGAGCGGUAGAGAGGUGCUUGCACCUCUUGAGAGCGGCGGACGGGUGAGUAAUGCCUAGGAAUCUGCCUAGUGGUGGGGGAUAACGUUCGGAAACGGACGCUAAUACCGCAUACGUCCUACGGGAGAAAGCGGGGGACCUUCGGGCCUCGCGCCAUUAGAUGAGCCUAGGUCGGAUUAGCUAGUUGGUGAGGUAAUGGCUCACCAAGGCGACGAUCCGUAACUGGUCUGAGAGGAUGAUCAGUCACACUAGGAACUGAGACACGGUCCAGACUCCGUA
RNAcentral lists this ribosomal RNA (315 nucleotides) under uncultured soil bacterium. Its description in RNAcentral is "bacterial SSU rRNA". It matches the Rfam family "Bacterial small subunit ribosomal RNA", at positions 26 to 342 of the family's 1533-position model. The record is from RNAcentral.